GUAAAGUUUGAUUAUUUCUUGAAUUUUUACGGUUUUACUGAAGUUGUAUGAGAUUUUUUAGUGUAGAAAGUUUAGUGUUUUAUACAUUAAGAGGAAGAUAAGGAAUGUUGUGUUAAUGAGGUUUUAAUUCUCAGCAUAUAUUAUUAAACAAUAUAUUAAGGUAUGAUUUAGCAGUAAAUUUGAGCCCGAUGAAAUAUUGUGCCAGCAGUCGCGGUUAGACUUUAGGGUGUAGUAAAAAGGUAUUGGUUAUUAGUUAGGUAGAGGAGGUUUAUUGGAAUGUUUAAUUGAGUAAAAGGUGAAAUUGGGUUGCUUUUAUUAAAGGUUGUGUAAACUGAAGUUGAAGCUAAAAAUUUCUAGGGUGAGACUAGGAUUAGAUACCCUAUUAUUCUAGGGAGAUAAAUGUAAAACUUGGUUAUUAAUAGUUAUAGUCUUUAAAACUAAAGGAUUUGGCGGUGAUUUAGUCUUGUCAGAGGAACCUGUUUUUGAAUCGAUACACCACGUUGAAUCUUGCUUGUCUUUGUUUUCAGUUUAUAUACCGUCAUUAGCAGAUAAUUUUAAAAGGAUUAAUUAUUGAGAUUUAAAGAUUAAAUAAGUGAAAUUAGAUCAAGGUGUAGCUAAUAGGCAAGUUGAAAUGGGUUACAAUAAUAUAUAGUUAUAAUGGAUCAUUAGAGUAAGAUUUGAGUGUGAAGGAGGAUUUGAUUGUAAUGUAAGUUUAAUAAGUUUACGUGAUAUGAGCUCUAAAUCAUGUACAUAUUGCCCGUCGCUUUCAUUUAGAGAUGAGAUAAGUCGUAACAUAGUAGGUUUACCUGAAGGUGAACCUGGUUUUAAA
Molecule: non-coding RNA, 829 nt
Filed under: Leptodius sanguineus
Lineage: Eukaryota; Metazoa; Arthropoda; Malacostraca; Decapoda; Xanthidae
Source: RNAcentral